Camelina sativa (false flax) is the source of this 915-nucleotide long non-coding RNA. RefSeq lists it as uncharacterized. The record is from RefSeq and is a predicted model, not a curated record. Lineage: Eukaryota; Viridiplantae; Streptophyta; Magnoliopsida; Brassicales; Brassicaceae.
AAUUAUAAGAAGAUUGUCCAUCAGCCCAUACUUGACACUAUCGACAAUCAAUCUCAAGAAUAUUCCAAAGGAUAAACUAUGGAAACUAUAAACACAAUAUUUACUGUAUCAAUCCCGCCCUCAAAUCUCUCUGCAUUAUCUCCAUUUGCCUGACUAUCAAUCAACAUUGAUUUCAAAUUCAAUCACAAUCAUAAUUUAAUCCUAAACAGAACCAAUAAUCUCGCAAUCAUCAACCACUCAAUCAAUAACGGAUCCUAUACGAUACCCUAAACUACUAGACCACUAUAAAUAAUCCAACAUUAAACACAUUCAUCACUCAUCAAGCAAAAAAACCAUUUCUCAAGCAUACAAGUCAUUAGAACAAGAAACCAAUGGUUGCAUCUUACGCUUACCUCCGAGAGACGUGAAGCCAAAAUCACUCAGUGAUGUCCAGAAGCAGCCAAGUCAUCUUUCAAAGAAAGAAGCUGUUCUAAUGAACAAACCUCGGUACCCAUAAGGGCUAUCAUUCACCUCACCCAAAAUCACCAAGCUCGACCCGACUAUUCCAAAGCACAAGCAAACAAAUUAAUUUUGACAUCUCCAAUGGUGACUCCAUUUACAAAGUGAGUGUUGAAAAGGAGAAAUCAUAUAUUAUUACCAAGCAAACUUCAAUCAUUAUGUGAGCGAUUUCAUCGACAGAUACAGAACUAUAUAUAUAUAUAUGAGUUUGUUUCUAAACUUUGUCGAGAUUGGUUGCUAAUAUCUUAGCUUCUUCCUUUUUUUUUUGGAUCAUAAAGUGGCACCUACGAAGCAAAACAAUUGUACAUAUAUAUAUAUAUAUAUGAAAUUGUCAAAUCUAAAUUCACUAAACAACCCAAACCUUGCCUGUAUUUUCUUCUAUUAACAAUCAUGUAAGAAUUUUUCUUGGCCAACCAA